This is a long non-coding RNA of Dendronephthya gigantea, 928 nucleotides long. RefSeq lists it as uncharacterized. Lineage: Eukaryota; Metazoa; Cnidaria; Anthozoa; Malacalcyonacea; Nephtheidae. The record is from RefSeq and is a predicted model, not a curated record. The transcript has 5 exons.
UUUUCAAAAUGGCGUCUAUAGAAUAGUGAAUUUUAUCAAAUUACGCAUUUAUUUUUCACAAAACUAAAUUUACUAAGAGAAGCUUGGAUCUAUAAGAAGGACAAAUGUAAGAUCCUUGCAUUGGUGCUGCCAUUUCUCUCCAGAAUUAAAGGGACUUCUCACAUGCAGUGGUAACUGGACCAAUAUCUAUACCAAUAUCCAUAAAUGUUGAUUCAAUAUUUGUUUCCUGUUGACUGCAAUUUGUAGCAAAUCCACUGCUGAUGGCAGGUAGACAAAGUGUAUGGAAGAUAUGUCAAGAGUUUGGAAAGAAUACUAAAACAUAACAAUUCUAUUAGAGAGGCAAAGCAGCUUUUUUUUUAUAAAUACGCGGAAAAAAUGAUAAAAUACGCCAGAAACCUUAGCAAGAAAAACGCGCUAGUGUAAACAGCGUUGCUUGAUCUUGAUCGAAGCGCAAGAAAUGAUCCUGGACGGAAGCCUUAUGCCAGAAACCUUACCAAGCAAAACGCGCUAGUGAAAGCAGCGUUGUCUGAUCUUGAACGAAGCGCAAGAAAUGAUCCUGGACGGAAGCCUUAUUACAAAGCUGCCUGUUCAUCAGCGCUUUUAAAAUGCAUAUUGAAAGGAAAUGGUAAAUACAGCGAUGAUUCUUCCCUUAUUGAAUUUACAACCGUAAUGUGAACAACAUAUAAAUGACGAGCAAAAAAUGGGAUUCUCGAAAAUAUAUAAUUAUAUAUUGAAGGAUGAUCCUGACACUCUCCUCCGGUCCGAGACCGAGGCAAAAUACCCAAUGAUUAUAGUGACUCCUGGGCCGUCAGACGACAUCGUGAAGAUUAACGGAGCCGUGGUUUUUGCCGAAGGCCAAAACGUGAUCACUUUUAAUGAAACGGUGACAAUGGACGCAGCCUUACUAACACUGCAUGCCAUUUAUUAU